AGGUCGAGUUCAUGGCUCGGCAGA
This 24-nucleotide non-coding RNA is filed under the name Arabidopsis thaliana (thale cress). Lineage: Eukaryota; Viridiplantae; Streptophyta; Magnoliopsida; Brassicales; Brassicaceae. The record is from RNAcentral.